RNAcentral lists this ribosomal RNA (416 nucleotides) under uncultured Paludisphaera sp. RNAcentral describes it as "bacterial SSU rRNA". It matches the Rfam family "Bacterial small subunit ribosomal RNA", at positions 355 to 774 of the family's 1533-position model. Lineage: Bacteria; Pseudomonadati; Planctomycetota; Planctomycetia; Isosphaerales; Isosphaeraceae. The record is from RNAcentral.
UCGAGAAUCUUCGGCAAUGGGCGCAAGCCUGACCGAGCGACGCCGCGUGGAGGACGAAGGCCUUCGGGUUGUAAACUCCUGUCGAGGGGGGGAAAGGCACCGCAAGGUGCUUGAUCGAUCCCUGGAGGAAGCACGGGCUAAGUUCGUGCCAGCAGCCGCGGUAAGACGAACCGUGCGAACGUUAUUCGGAAUCACUGGGCUUAAAGCGCGUGUAGGCGGAUCGGAACGUCGGCGCCUGAAAUCCCCCGGCUCAACCGGGGAACGUGGCCCGAAACGACCGAUCUCGAGGGGUGUAGGGGGGACUGGAACUUCCGGUGGAGCGGUGAAAUGCGUUGAGAUCGGAAGGAACGCCCGUGGCGAAAGCGAGUCCCUGGACGCCUGCUGACGCUGAGACGCGAAAGCUAGGGGAGCGAACG